AAUCCUGUCACCUUAGGUCGAUCGGUAUCUCAGCUUUGAAGUUAAGGAUCAGCAGCGAUGUUGAUUGCUUGAUGGAGAUUUUCAGUUCCUAAACUUUGUCUAGGUCACACCCCAAAAGGGAUGAGACUCCUGGGCCAUUAGCUCAGGUGGUUAGAGCGCACCCCUGAUAAGGGUGAGGUCCCUGGUUCAAGUCCAGGAUGGCCCAUAUCUCUAUGUUGGGGGUAUAGCUCAGUUGGUAGAGCGCCUGCUUUGCAAGCAGGAUGUCAGCGGUUCGAGUCCGCUUACCUCCACUGAUUACCACCUCUUCCAUAUUCUUUUGAAAGGAAAAGUUUUGAGUUGUGAUCAAAUUCUGAACGAAUCUAGCUUCCUAAUUAAAUUAUUAAGAUGCUGGACUCAUUGAAUUAAUUUCAUUGUUUUCAGAGAACCUUGACAACUGCAUAGAUUAUUUUUAAAGACAAUAAGCAUCUUUAAUGAUGCAGAUUUAUUAUUUGUGCGAAUGCAUUAAUAACAAUUCUAUUAAGCUGAUGCUUCAA
RNAcentral lists this transfer RNA (533 nucleotides) under uncultured Prochlorococcus sp. RNAcentral describes it as "partial 16S-23S ribosomal RNA intergenic spacer". The stretch from base 218 to 290 matches the Rfam family "tRNA". Lineage: Bacteria; Bacillati; Cyanobacteriota; Cyanophyceae; Synechococcales; Prochlorococcaceae. The record is from RNAcentral.